CAAACGACUCUCGGCAACGGAUAUCUCGGCUCACGCAUCGAUGAAGAACGUAGCAAAAUGCGAUACUUGGUGUGAAUUGCAGAAUCCCGUGAACCAUCGAGUUUUUGAACGCAAGUUGCGCCCGAAGCCUUCCGGCCGAGGGCACGUCUGCCUGGGCGUCACGC
RNAcentral lists this ribosomal RNA (164 nucleotides) under Stifftia fruticosa. RNAcentral's name for it is "5.8S ribosomal RNA". It matches the Rfam family "5.8S ribosomal RNA". From Rfam's summary of the family: 5.8S ribosomal RNA (5.8S rRNA) is a component of the large subunit of the eukaryotic ribosome. It is transcribed by RNA polymerase I as part of the 45S precursor that also contains 18S and 28S rRNA. The record is from RNAcentral. Lineage: Eukaryota; Viridiplantae; Streptophyta; Magnoliopsida; Asterales; Asteraceae.